GCCUGGGUGGCUCAGUCGGUUGAGCGUCCGACUUCAGCUCAGGUCACUAUCUCGCGGUCCGUGAGUUCGAGCCCCACGUCGGGCU
Non-coding RNA from Felis catus (domestic cat), 85 nucleotides. The record is from Rfam. NCBI's taxonomy places the organism in Eukaryota, Metazoa, Chordata, Mammalia, Carnivora, Felidae.